This 405-nucleotide ribosomal RNA is filed under the name uncultured bacterium. RNAcentral describes it as "bacterial SSU rRNA". It matches the Rfam family "Bacterial small subunit ribosomal RNA", at positions 356 to 773 of the family's 1533-position model. The record is from RNAcentral.
GGGGAAUAUUGCACAAUGGGCGCAAGCCUGAUGCAGCAACGCCGCGUGAGGGACGACGGCCUUCGGGUUGUAAACCUCUUUUAGUAGGGAAGAAGCGAAAGUGACGGUACCUGCAGAAAAAGCACCGGCUAACUACGUGCCAGCAGCCGCGGUAAUACGUAGGGUGCAAGCGUUAUCCGGAAUUAUUGGGCGUAAAGAGCUCGUAGGCGGUUUGUCGCGUCUGCUGUGAAAACUGGGGGCGCAACCCCCAGCCUGCAGUGGGUACGGGCAGACUAGAGUGCGGUAGGGGAGAUUGGAAUUCCUGGUGUAGCGGUGGAAUGCGCAGAUAUCAGGAGGAACACCGAUGGCGAAGGCAGAUCUCUGGGCGGUAACUGACGCUGAGGAGCGAAAGCAUGGGGAGCGAAC